This 58-nucleotide transfer RNA is filed under the name Plestiodon brevirostris (shortnose skink). Its description in RNAcentral is "partial tRNA-Leu". Lineage: Eukaryota; Metazoa; Chordata; Lepidosauria; Squamata; Scincidae. The record is from RNAcentral.
AGGUACAUGCAUAAGGCCUAAAACCUUUACUUCAGGUGUUCAAAUCACCUCCCUAAUC